This 739-nucleotide ribosomal RNA is filed under the name uncultured Staphylococcus sp. RNAcentral describes it as "bacterial SSU rRNA". It matches the Rfam family "Bacterial small subunit ribosomal RNA", at positions 60 to 780 of the family's 1533-position model. Lineage: Bacteria; Bacillati; Bacillota; Bacilli; Caryophanales; Staphylococcaceae. The record is from RNAcentral.
AGUCGAGCGAACGGACGAGAAGCUUGCUUCUCUGAUGUUAGCGGCGGACGGGUGAGUAACACGUGGAUAACCUACCUAUAAGACUGGGAUAACUUCGGGAAACCGGAGCUAAUACCGGAUAAUAUUUUGAACCGCAUGGUUCAAAAGUGAAAGACGGUCUUGCUGUCACUUAUAGAUGGAUCCGCGCUGCAUUAGCUAGUUGGUAAGGUAACGGCUUACCAAGGCAACGAUGCAUAGCCGACCUGAGAGGGUGAUCGGCCACACUGGAACUGAGACACGGUCCAGACUCCUACGGGAGGCAGCAGUAGGGAAUCUUCCGCAAUGGGCGAAAGCCUGACGGAGCAACGCCGCGUGAGUGAUGAAGGUCUUCGGAUCGUAAAACUCUGUUAUUAGGGAAGAACAUAUGUGUAAGUAACUGUGCACAUCUUGACGGUACCUAAUCAGAAAGCCACGGCUAACUACGUGCCAGCAGCCGCGGUAAUACGUAGGUGGCAAGCGUUAUCCGGAAUUAUUGGGCGUAAAGCGCGCGUAGGCGGUUUUUUAAGUCUGAUGUGAAAGCCCACGGCUCAACCGUGGAGGGUCAUUGGAAACUGGAAAACUUGAGUGCAGAAGAGGAAAGUGGAAUUCCAUGUGUAGCGGUGAAAUGCGCAGAGAUAUGGAGGAACACCAGUGGCGAAGGCGACUUUCGUGGUCUGUAACUGACGCUGAUGUGCGAAAGCGUGGGGAUCAAACAGGAUUA